UCCUCUAUUCCUCGGACAAGAGAUGUUCGUCGAUCUCUUUGGAGACUUCGACACAGAACUGGAGGAGAGUUUCAGGAUGGGCAACCUCGUUGCUAAUUUUCUCAUACUCAAGGUGCCAGUGCACAAUACUCCCUGGCCCUCCUUGCUUUGGGGUCACCUGGAUGGUGAGCAAGAAGCUUUUGUAUUCUUUCAUCAGAUCACCUUCUAUAACUCUAAAAGUGAUCAAGUUUUUUUCUGGCUCCACCGCCUCGAUCCUCUCCUUUGCUACCUUUGGCUCCCCAUCUAUAACAAUUUUUAAUAUUAAUGAUAUUUUAACUUUUAGACUAAAACAUACAUAUUUUUUAAUGAAUAAAGUGGUUUUCAUUUGUUAAUCGAAACCUAAUAUCAGAUGUAAAUUAGGUCACCUAAUCGACUCAUCUCCUUUUGGUCACUCAAAAGUUUUCAAAAUGGUCGCACUCCUAAAAACUUUUAAUUUCUGCUGGAUUUUUAAGAUUUGGAUUUUGAUUAUGUUCUUUAUAAAACGAUUUUACCUAAAAAAUAUAUGCUCGAACGAUUAUAAUGGUUCACCCUCAACCUAAUCAAUGUGCUGCCUUCUCGUCAAAGUUACAUGGUGAAUGAAGGAGAUGAUUAAGACUACAAAUCUAUGAAAAAGUUUAUAUAAUAUUAACUUACCAUGAACGUAAUUCCAUAAGAUGAUAGAGCCUACUGUGCCCCAAUCGCCUUCAUGCAGGUCACAGGCUUGAAUGUUACCUGGAGAUGCUUUGGAGACAUGAUGUGGUUUCCCAGUGAACAUGUGAUGGAACUUCUCCGCCGACGCUUUGAUCUCCACGUCUGUCUCAAGCUUCCCCACCAAACUAGAAGCCUCUGUUUGCUUCACCUCUUCUUCAUCGGCUAAGAGAUGUUCGUCGAUCUCUUUGGAGACUUCGACACAGAACUGGAGGAGAGUUUCUGGAUGAGCUACCUCGUUGCUAAUUUUCUCAUACUCAAGGUGCCAGUGCACAAUACUCCCUGGCCCUCCUUGCUUUGGGGUCACCUGGAUCGUGAGCAAGAAGCUUUUGUACUCUUUCAUCAGAUCACCAUCUAUGACCCUGAACGUAAUCAGGUUCUUGUCCGGCUCCACCGCCUCG
This 1127-nucleotide long non-coding RNA is filed under the name Capsella rubella. RNAcentral describes it as "long non-coding RNA (CRUB_LNC004404)". The record is from RNAcentral. Lineage: Eukaryota; Viridiplantae; Streptophyta; Magnoliopsida; Brassicales; Brassicaceae.